This is a long non-coding RNA of Gavialis gangeticus (Gharial), 851 nucleotides long. RefSeq lists it as uncharacterized. Lineage: Eukaryota; Metazoa; Chordata; Crocodylia; Gavialidae. The transcript has 2 exons. The record is from RefSeq and is a predicted model, not a curated record.
UGUGUGUAUAUAAUUAAAAUGUAUUUAUACAUAAACCUGAUUUCAAUGGACAAGGAGAAUGAGAAAAAUACAUAACAUCAGUUAAAACCCAACAUCCCUUAUUAAAGAUUGAGCCACAUGUUACAAAUUUGGGGCCUCUGAACAAAACCAAAGUAAAGUUAGGAGGGGAAACAUUCUCGUUCCAAGAAGAGUCAAAAUCCAAUUUGUCAAAUACAUUUUGUUCUCAUUGCCAUUAAGAAUAAACACAAGUGGCGGAUUCCUAGCUCCAUGCCCAGCCCUUCUCAGUAUCUGCCUUCAGAUCCUUUUAUAUGGAAUUAAUUUACUCCUGCCUACCAGUUUUUUGAGAUUAUUCUAAUGGCAAUGGCCCUGAUCCAAAGCUUAUUAAAAUCAAUGGCAAGUCUUUCAUUGACUUCAAUGAGCUUUGGAUCAGACUUAACAUGAACCAAUAGGGCCCAUAUUCUGUUGCCAGGUUGCAAGAUCUGGCCCAUAUUUCCCUUCUUGGUGCAGACAUUGCUGUCACCUAAUGGUGGGCUGCUGGUCUGAACCUUUUUUAUUUGGGGGCUAACCCGGAUUCAAGAGCAGCUUCAGGACACUUGCUUAAGCUUCUUAGGGGGAAUAGGGCAGUCAUGCUGCUCUUGGGGGUCUUACUAACAAACCAUCAUGAAAUCCAGUGUGACCUAUAAUGGGUGGAUCUCCCCCCAAUUCAGCUCCUUUGCUGGCUGGGAAGCACAGUAUAAUGUUGCUAUAAAUACGGCAAAAAAUUAGUUCAUUUGAAAAAAGUGAAAGUUUGCUCAGAAUGAUAGCUCUCCACCCCAACUAUCAAUUGUGAUGAAAUGGCAAGACUUUUCCAG